This 199-nucleotide ribosomal RNA is filed under the name Arabidopsis thaliana (thale cress). Lineage: Eukaryota; Viridiplantae; Streptophyta; Magnoliopsida; Brassicales; Brassicaceae. The record is from RNAcentral.
GGUUCAUCAAGUCUUCAAAAAAGAAUAUAUACGAUUGCAUUGCACAUACUAACGGAUGCGAUCAUACCAGCACUAAUGCACCGGAUCCCAUCAGAACUCCGCAGUUAAGCGUGCUUGGGCGAGAGUAGUACUAGGAUGGGUGACCUCCCGGGAAGUCCUCGUGUUGCAUCCCUCUUUUAUGUUUAACCUUUUUUUUUUU